Molecule: ribosomal RNA, 253 nt
Filed under: uncultured bacterium
Lineage: Bacteria
Description: partial 16S ribosomal RNA
Rfam family: Bacterial small subunit ribosomal RNA
Source: RNAcentral
UACGGGGGGGGCAAGCGUUGUUCGGAAUUACUGGGCGUAAAGGGCUCGUAGGUGGCCAACUAAGUCAGACGUGAAAUCCCUCGGCUUAACCGGGGAACUGCGUCUGAUACUGGAUGGCUUGAAUCCGGGAGAGGGAUGCGGAAUUCCAGGUGUAGCGGUGAAAUGCGUAGAUAUCUGGAGGAACACCGGUGGCGAAGGCGGCAUCCUGGACCGGUAUUGACACUGAGGCGCGAAAGCCAGGGGAGCAAACGGG